UUAUCUCUUACCAAAGCACGGUAAAAACAGGCUAAAAUUGAACUUCAUAUUGGUGAUGAGAACAAAGGGACAAACUACUGGAAAGCAUAUUUCUGUCAACGUAAAUAUAUUCAGUGCCCAUGGCACUGGAUAUUUGGAACAGGUCCUAAUGACAGCAACAGGGAAGACAAUGAAUAAGAGAUUACAAAUAUACAUAGAAGGUUGAGGAUAAUUUUUGAUGCUCUGUCUUCAGGUGAGACUUGCUGAAAGUAUUGAGCACUGUGAAUAUUCCUAACUUGUCUCUUAUGUUUGUAAAGGGUACUCACCAUGGAGACACUUGAGCAGGCCAUGAGACUUAGACAUAAGACAUCUGAGAAGCACAAUAAGAACAUAUAGAGUGCAGCUCCCACAUGAUCAGAAGUAAAUAAUGAACAGUAUUCAUAGUUCAACCUGUUAGUCACAUUUUCCUUGUAACUGGCCUGACACUCUUGCUGGUAUCAAAAUGUUUAGAAGCAGGUGGAAAAGCCAAGAGACUAUGCAGAAGGGACCAAUGUACUUGGUGGCUCUGUAUUUAAGCUUCAUCCACUUGAAGUUGCUGGAUCUGAUUGUGAUGGCUUGAAAACAACUCAAUAUGCAUGUGGCAUACAUGGACAUACCUCUUGUUAUUCGGGAAAUAUACAUGAUCAAUUUGCAUCCAAUGUCAUCCAGAAAAACAUUAAAUCCAAAAUAUGACAUUGUCCUUGGAAUGCCUCUUAAGAUGAUAGACAAGCAGUUGGCAAAAGUCAAGUGCUCUAUAAUCAAGUCAUAGGGCAGUAAAUGCUUUCCAAUGAAUAUCAAAAUGACAUGAUAAAAUAGUAUUGAGAAAUUGCCAAGCACUCCCACUAUAAUCUGGCAGAAGAGAAAAUUUCCCAUUGUAACGUUUUCAGAAAUCAUUUUCA
This 917-nucleotide long non-coding RNA is filed under the name Mus musculus (house mouse). RNAcentral's name for it is "long non-coding RNA chr4:3139140-3140057". Lineage: Eukaryota; Metazoa; Chordata; Mammalia; Rodentia; Muridae. The record is from RNAcentral.